GGCUCAGUUGUGUUUGGGCAGGUGU
RNAcentral lists this non-coding RNA (25 nucleotides) under Rattus norvegicus (Norway rat). Lineage: Eukaryota; Metazoa; Chordata; Mammalia; Rodentia; Muridae. The record is from RNAcentral.